GACUGCUCUGGUGGCUUAGUGAUUAGAGUGUCCGCCUCGGAUGCGUGGGGUCACGGGUUCGAACACCGGCCGAGUCA
Non-coding RNA from Potamilus streckersoni, 77 nucleotides. The record is from the annotation of a GenBank genome assembly. Lineage: Eukaryota; Metazoa; Mollusca; Bivalvia; Unionida; Unionidae.